This is a non-coding RNA of Cavia porcellus (domestic guinea pig), 64 nucleotides long. Lineage: Eukaryota; Metazoa; Chordata; Mammalia; Rodentia; Caviidae. The record is from Rfam.
GGGGAUUUAGCUUGGCGGCAUAAGCACCUGCCUUGCAAGCCGGCAGUCGUGAGUUCAAUCCCCG